UGUAAAGUAAGCAGAUGCAAUUUAACCAAAUUGGAAGCAAUACAAGCUAGACACCAUAUACAACAUGCAACCACAUUUGACAGCGCGAAGUUAAAGCAAGCACCCGGGAUGGUUGUGUGUGGCAAUUGAGAUCAUCAACUACAGAGCUACGUUUACUGUCUCCAACUGCUUCAUCCUUUAGAGCGCUGAAACGCUUAGUGCUUAUCUUCGAAUUACACUGGAGCGACUUCUGUCUUUUCUUUUCAGCAUUCAUCAACACUGCGUCAGAGUCUGAAAUACCCAUGCAUAAAAAAACAAUAGUGUGAGUAUGGGUGAAGUGUGUGCACAAUUAGUACAGUGUAAAGGUAGCAGAUAGCAGGUCGGUGAGAAAUAAAUGACGGGAGACAUAUGAUAGCUCUACAACAUGCAUGGCACACUAAAUUACUAUAGGAUUCUAUGAAAAUAAUAUUCGACUGAAAACAAAUAGGUCAGUCCAUUUUUUCUGCAUCGUCCGAUGUACAAAGAACGGGCAAAUCGCCUUCAUCUACCUCCAGCCAGUCAGUGUUGAUGAUCUUCCUCGAGACGGCAGCGACCACCGGCCCAGUCCCCUGCCUACGCCCUCCCCUCGACCUCACUGCACCGCCGUGCUUGGCACCGCCCCCCGGUAAUCCAUUCAAGCCCCGCCGACCUCCAGAUCGGGCGCAAGCAGCUCCUGCGCCCCACACCCCUAUGAUAGACAUCGAUGCGCCGCUUCCCCGGCGAACAGGCGGACUAGGUGCUCCGCGCGCCUAAGCGGGUGCUGCUUCUUUUAAUUGCAGUUCGACUGACCCUGAAUUGAAAUCCAGGAGGGCUACUGACCUCUAGAAAAGGUGAAAUAGUAAAGGGAGGAAACCUUAUGCAUUUAGUAUCACGAAGAAGAUGCGGUAAAAAGCUCUCAACUAGUUUCUUUCGUGGGAUGAAUACGGUGUGAGCAGAGACGUAAGGUUUGCACGAAUAUGGGAAGAUGAGUACCUCUGUCUGCUGGCAGUGUUGUGUCCUCCUUCUGUUUUUCCAACGAUCUUCUUGUGGUUCACCGGAAACGAGAAGUUGUGGAGGACGGUGCAGCCUUGGACGAACCCGUGGCCAAGUUGUUGAGUGUGGUGUGGUGGCCAUCUGUCGGCGGCGGGGAAGCAGAUCCGAGGCGGUGAACGAUGGCAUAGCGGGAACAGCUCCGGUGCGGUAGACGGUUGCGACAGUGGAGCGGCAGUAGUGAGGCGCAGGACAGCGUGGUCAGAGUGGUUCUGGUAUGGCGCACGUCGGCGUCGGUGUCGUGGAGGCAGCUCUACCUCGGCUUCAGCUGCUAAGUCCUUGAGGGCGUUGCGGUUGCGGUUGCGUUGGACGACGACGUCGGGGUACCGGCUCCGGCGUGACGGAGUUGGGUGGCGGUGGAUUGGGUGCUAUGGGGUGGAGGACGGAGGAGGCUGGAGUUUCGCGGCUGGUGGAGAGGGCGUUUUGGCACCCACGGAGUAUGAAUGGGCAAACGGAGGGAGGCGGGGAACUAAGGGGGAACAAUGUUUUGGUUUGGGACGCGCUUGUUUGAAAUUUGGGGAAAGUUACAAACUUUGUCCCCAUCUAAAAUUUCGGACAUAUUGCGGGUUGGGGGUAGGACAGUAAUCUCAGGUGUCCCAAAUGUGGGCGGGAUAGAUUUCGGCCGAGCGCAUGGGCGUUUAGGCGCCCAUGGCAUAUGAAUGCUUCUCGAAGGCGGUUGAGACUGGCGUCUUGGAAGUUACAAACCUACCCCGGUGGACAUCGGGUCGAUAGGCUACACGGGCCAGAGUCAAGACAGUAAUUUCCUACCACCAAACAAUAGUCUCGCGCGGUUUUGGGUGACCAGAGGCCUAUUUGGCGCUUCGUUCAAUAUUUGGGAGCAGAAGCAUUAAUGUUUUUGGUUCUCUUGAAUUGAACAUUCAGGAUUUGUCAAACUUCACAAAUCUUUACUCUUGAAAAUCCUAAAGCUACGAUUAUUUUGGAAUGGAGGUGGUACAUUUGAAUAUACAUUGUACAUGAGUAUAUAUUAAAAAAUAUGCAACUUACCUCAGUUCAUGCAUGGUUCCAUAUAUAAUCUCCUUGGUUGCAAAAAAAUUUAGACAUGCGUAUGAAUAUAUAUAUAGCAUGUUCAAACGCACAACAAAGAUUGAUGCCCCCUUUUACAUCUGAUUUACAAAUGCCAUUAUCUCGGGUUCAAAUAGAUGAAUGCACUUCCUAUGAAUUCGAAUCUUCGAAACCCCCUUUAUGUUGAAUUCGACAUGUAUUCUAUUUUGUAGCUAGCAAUUUGGAAUGUAUCCAUGCAAGUGACAAAUGUAUAAAGUGCUUCACACUAACAACAUGGAGUGCACUAAUUAAUGUUUAUAUAUGAAUUGCAAAAGCAUCCAUUGCCUGUAUUUCAAACCGCUCUCACUCUAUGGAUCGAUAAUAUGAAAUAAACACAUGCACAUGCUAGAAUUCAAUAGAGUAUGGGUGUCUGAUAGACCGAUUUUCGUCCAUACGCAAUUAGCAAAUUCAUGAUCUCAUCCAAAAAUAAUAAUGCCAUUUAUAUUUUAAUUUAAUGUGUAGAACCGCCUUUUACACGUAGAUGCACUAUGCCUCGGCCCAUUCUCACAAACGCGCUAUAUAUCUCUCUAUCUACCGCAUAAGUGCACACACUUUAUAUGCAUCGGCAUUUCUCUUUCACACAUGCUCACAAUCUCUCUCGGAGUGUCGGGGAGUCUCACGCACAUGCUCUCUCUGUAUCUCUCUCUCUCUCUCUCUCUCUCUCUCUCUCUUUCUGACUACCGUGUACCACUCUUUUCACUAAUCUCAGUUGGAAAACACUAUUUCUCUCACAUGCAUAUAUACACACGCACGGUCUCUACUAGCCCUCUAUACGCACAUAUGUGUGCCUACGUGUCUCCCGCACGCAUAUUAUCUUUAGGCCUCUCUCGCACACAUUGCCCCCCCCAGACACACCUCUCUCUUAGUAGUUGGCAGAUAUGAUUCCAUCAUAUCAUUCGGUAGGAUAUCCCUGACUGUUAGGCUGGAUGGUAAUACGAGGCAAAGUUUUACCCUAGUUCGGACCCUUGCAGUUGAGGAAAAAGCCUACUCCUGGUACUGUAUAUUAGUGAUAGGGGUGUGUACAAAGUACACGUGAAUACCAGGCAUUGUGCGUGUGUGUAUACUAUCGACGAACUAGCCCCCAAGCUUCUAUAACAUACUGGGGGCCUAGGGUUACAAAUCAUAUAUAGUCGGCUUAUCACCAGUGGGGAUAGAGUCCUCCGCGACUCUGGUAGCUAGCUUCAUGUUGUACGCCGAGUCCUCCACAUGGGUCUUCGUAUAACGCGUCUCGAUCCAACCUAUGUGGCGCAGGAUGGAACCAACCCAUGAGUCCUCAUGUUGACCCACCACAACUAGAAAUGAUGUGCCCACCCCACCACACACGCAAUCGACCACUAAGAAAACUAGAUAAUACCCCGCGCGUUGCUGCGGGAACUGGUUAUAAUAUAUUUGGUGAGAUUUGAUUUUUUUUUAAUAUGGAAAAUUGAUUGGUAAUAUGAGAAGUAAAACUAAAGAUACAUAUGACUUAUUUUAUUUAAUUAUUGAUAUUAUAUGUGUACAUGUUGAGACAAAUAUAUUAGUGGAAUAAUCUAUUUGGUUAUAUAGGAUAUGAUGGUGCACCGCGCAUUGCUGUGGUAUUCUUAGCUGACAUUAAGGGUCAUAUUUUAAAAAAGAAUUAUAAGACUAAUCUGGCACUAACAAUUCCAAGAACAAAGGUGUGACAUGCAUGGACAGAGUAUAUAUCAUGCUUCAAUUUUAUUGGAUUAUCAAUGCUUGAUUGCCCAGAGGUUAUCUUGGUUAUCUAAGAGUGUCAACCGUUGCACUGAGUGUGUUUGAAGAGAAAAGGGGGGUGUUGAGGAUAGUGUCUCAUCAUAUUUGUAACUUGCAAGUAGAUAUUAGUACAUGACAUUUAUAAAGCUCAAAACUAAAAAAAUACGUGCGCAUGCAUUUUUUUUGUUCCAUUGCAUUGCUUGAUGUCACCGCAUGGCCCUGACAAAAUGCAGCUUAGACACCUUAACUCACAACCUUGGUCAAAAUCAGACAAAUCAGUAUGACAUUGGAAAGCCUGGGUGUGAAAAUUUCGCUAUUCAUAUGUUCAAAAAUAAGCUCCGACAUGUAGCAUCAACCAGUUCAUAGUUGCUGGUAAAGCCCGUUUGAAUUUCAUCUUUUUACAACUAACAUACGAUGUGAGCUAUGAAACAGAACAAUGAGAAGUUAUACAUAGAUAAAUAUUGAGAUCCAAAUUAUCCAUGUAGUUAAAAAAUCACAUGCAAGCACCUAACCAAUAAUCAUAGAAGAUGUAUUAUUUGUACUCACUUCUAGUUAAGCAGCUGAUUUUAUUUUGAAGCUAGGGCAGAUAGCAUAGUAGAAUUGUCUCUACAGAACAUUCAUGAAAAGAACAGACUAAUUCAUGCAAACCAAUAGAAGUAUUUUCAUGUGGCAAUGAUUCUGACCGUCAAGGGAGUAGUCUUGGAUGCCUUUGCUGAACUUAAUUAAUCUUCUUCUUCAUCCAUUCUCCACUCUUUAAUUAACAAACUGUUGGGAGAUCGACAAAUAACAGAUAUGAAGAGAUCGGCCAAUGGAGUGUUUACUGUUGCUAGAAGUACAGAUCCAAACUUUUCUGAACAAAACCCAAUUCACAUAUAUGUAUAAAAUGGAGCAAAACAAAUCAUUCAACACUAAUAUGUGAUGGUUAAUUGGUUACUAAUUCAAGAUCAAGUGCAAUAUAUAUCAAUAGCAUUAUUGACCUUUAGAUGCAAUAAUGAAAAAAGAAUUAGGAAAAGAGUCAUGCCUUACCCAUCGAACAUGCGCACGGAACAAAUUGAUGCGGAUAGGGAGGAGUUCAGUUUGCACACUGCAACAAAAUCUCGCGGGCUUAAGGUGGCGCUAGCGAUGUUGACAAUCAUAAAAGCCAUGAGUAAGGAAAGUAGUUUGGUGCGUACAUGCGAGUAGAUCCCAGUUGCAAAUAGGCCCUCUUCUUCCUCUCCCAUCGCAGACCAUGCUGAACGACUCGCCGUGCUCCAGGCUGGGGGAAAUGGAAGAGGUACCAAGGACUGUACGGCGGGCGGGGGCAAGAUUCUUGGUGGUGCCGCGACGGGGGUGUGUGGACGAUCGUUGGUGGUAUGUCGUGCCGAGCGAAGCCCAUGCGGGAGCCAGUUAUGCACUAUGGGCAUACGACGGUUCGUCCAGGCACGGUGCGAGGGCACAACAUCCAACCCCAUCUUGGCAUCGAGGUUGCUCGCGGCGCCGGAGCUCGAUGCCCACAACGGCAACUGGGAAGAUGUGAUGCCUCGGGAAGUGAGAGACGAUGCGUUGGAAAAUGCCGCCAGUUAUAAAAGGGAUGUGUCAUUCAUUAGGAAUAGGAAACGAUGGAUUUCUUCGGUGACCAAUACUACAACGCAUCAAGUAGUAAAUCCUAAGGAAACCGUGGAUUGGUUCAGUGACCAGGAUGGCUGCGUAGGAAAAAUUGAAUCC
Molecule: long non-coding RNA, 5523 nt
Filed under: Triticum aestivum (bread wheat)
Lineage: Eukaryota; Viridiplantae; Streptophyta; Magnoliopsida; Poales; Poaceae
Description: long non-coding RNA (TAES_LNC018194)
Source: RNAcentral